This 253-nucleotide ribosomal RNA is filed under the name uncultured bacterium. RNAcentral describes it as "partial 16S ribosomal RNA". It matches the Rfam family "Bacterial small subunit ribosomal RNA", at positions 524 to 776 of the family's 1533-position model. The record is from RNAcentral.
UACAGAGGUCUCAAGCGUUGUUCGGAUUCAUUGGGCGUAAAGGGUGCGUAGGUGGCGCUGUAAGUCGGGUGUGAAAUUUCGGAGCUUAACUCCGAAACUGCAUCCGAUACUGCGGUGCUUGAGGACUGGAGAGGAGACUGGAAUUCAUGGUGUAGCAGUGAAAUGCGUAGAGAUCAUGAGGAAGACCAGUGGCGAAGGCGGGUCUCUGGACAGUUCCUGACACUGAGGCACGAAGGCCAGGGGAGCAAACGGG